UGGGGAAUUGUUCGCAAUGGGCGCAAGCCUGACGACGCAACGCCGCGUGGAGGAUGAAGGUCUUCGGAUUGUAAACUCCUGUUGCUCGGGACGAAAAGCUUCGACCUAACACGUCGAGGUCUGACGGUACCGAGUGAGGAAGCCCCGGCUAACUCUGUGCAGCAGCCGCGGUAAUACAGAGGGGGCAAGCGUUGUUCGGAAUUACUGGGCGUAAAGGGCGCGUAGGCGGCCUGCUAAGUCGAACGUGAAAUCCCUGGGCUCAACCCAGGAACUGCGUCCGAUACUGGUUGGCUUGAAUCCGGGAGAGGGAUGUGGAAUUCCAGGUGUAGCGGUGAAAUGCGUAGAUAUCUGGAGGAACACCGGUGGCGAAGGCGACAUCCUGGACCGGUAUUGACGCUGAGGCGCGAAAGCCAGGGGAGCAAACGGGAUUAGAUACCCCGGUAGUCCUGGCCCUAAACGAUGAAUGCUUGGUGUGGUGGGUAUCGAUCCCUACCGUGCCGAAGCUAACGCAA
This 512-nucleotide ribosomal RNA is filed under the name uncultured Acidobacteriota bacterium. Its description in RNAcentral is "bacterial SSU rRNA". It matches the Rfam family "Bacterial small subunit ribosomal RNA", at positions 355 to 860 of the family's 1533-position model. The record is from RNAcentral. Lineage: Bacteria; Pseudomonadati; Acidobacteriota.